AGGGUUUUGGGUCCAAAUAUGGGUUUAGGGGCUUCGGAGGAGCCGGAUCUGAAGUUUCCCCCUUUUUCGGCCACCGCAGACGGCGGUGCCAGUGCUGGAGAUAAGCGGCCGGCGCGGUGGUCGAUGACCGGCUGAUGGCCGGACGACUAGGGAAGGGGAGAGAGUUUCUGAAGGAUUUUUUUUUGUUUUUUUUAAAGAAGAAUAAAAAUGAAUUUUUUUUGAAAUGAUUUUGGCUUAAAUAAGCCUACUAAAACGAGGUCGUUUCGGGCAUGGGUCGACCUGACUCCGACCCGACCUGGCCUAGGAUCCGCGUGUUUUUGAGCGGAGGGGUAAAUUGCGCUUUAGCCC
Molecule: long non-coding RNA, 348 nt
Filed under: Gossypium raimondii (Peruvian cotton)
Lineage: Eukaryota; Viridiplantae; Streptophyta; Magnoliopsida; Malvales; Malvaceae
Description: long non-coding RNA (GRAI_LNC008963)
Source: RNAcentral